RNAcentral lists this ribosomal RNA (454 nucleotides) under Pseudomonas sp. RNAcentral's name for it is "bacterial SSU rRNA". The record is from RNAcentral. Lineage: Bacteria; Pseudomonadati; Pseudomonadota; Gammaproteobacteria; Pseudomonadales; Pseudomonadaceae.
AUUGAACGCUGGCGGCAGGCCUAACACAUGCAAGUCGAGCGGUAGAGAGAAGCUUGCUUCUCUUGAGAGCGGCGGACGGGUGAGUAAUGCCUAGGAAUCUGCCUGGUAGUGGGGGAUAACGUUCGGAAACGGACGCUAAUACCGCAUACGUCCUACGGGAGAAAGCAGGGGACCUUCGGGCCUUGCGCUAUCAGAUGAGCCUAGGUCGGAUUAGCUAGUUGGUGRGGUAAUGGCUCACCAAGGCGACGAUCCGUAACUGGUCUGAGAGGAUGAUCAGUCACACUGGAACUGAGACACGGUCCAGACUCCUACGGGAGGCAGCAGUGGGGAAUAUUGGACAAUGGGCGAAAGCCUGAUCCAGCCAUGCCGCGUGUGUGAAGAAGGUCUUCGGAUUGUAAAGCACUUUAAGUUGGGAGGAAGGGUUGUAGAUUAAUACUCUGCAAUUUGACGUACC